UUCGAUGGUAAGCACAGUUUCAGGGCCUGGCGCCUGCCUGAAACCUGCCACUCUCGCGGUUGAGACGCAAGGCAGGCGUAGGUCCCCUUAAGGCCAGACAGGCAGGUAGGUUUCGGUGCCUACAUUGAAGCCUCAGGAAAAUGAAAUAAU
This is a non-coding RNA of Caenorhabditis elegans, 150 nucleotides long. Lineage: Eukaryota; Metazoa; Nematoda; Chromadorea; Rhabditida; Rhabditidae. The record is from Ensembl.